GAAAGUCGUGUGCAAUGAAAAAUGCAAGCACGAUUUGGGGAGGGAUUUUUCUCUAUUGUAACAAGGAAGAAUUAAUAGAGAAAUUGUGAUUUAACUUUAC
This is a non-coding RNA of Triticum aestivum (bread wheat), 100 nucleotides long. The record is from Rfam. NCBI's taxonomy places the organism in Eukaryota, Viridiplantae, Streptophyta, Magnoliopsida, Poales, Poaceae.